UUUUAAGGGAAACUNGGUUGCUUAACACGUGCAAACCGAACGGAUCCAAGGAGCUUGCUCCUGAAGAUUAGUGGCAAACGGGUGAGUAAUAUAUAGGAAUCUACCUAGCAGUAAGGAAUAACCUUGGGAAACCAAAGCUAAUGCCAUAUAUUACCGGUUAGUUAACUCUAAUCGGGAAAGAUUUAUCGCUGUUAGAUGAGCCUGUAUCCCAUUAGCUUGUUGGUAGGGUAAUGGCCUACCAAGGCGAUGAUGGGUAGCUGGUCUGAGAGGAUGAUCAGCCACACUGGGACUGCGACACGGCCCAGACUCCUACGGGAGGCAGCAGUGGGGAAUAUUGGACAAUGGGCGAAAGCCUGAUCCAGCAAUACCACGUGAGUGAUGAAGGCCUUAGGGUUGUAAAACUCUUUUAGUGGGGAAGAUAAU
RNAcentral lists this ribosomal RNA (423 nucleotides) under uncultured Alphaproteobacteria bacterium. RNAcentral describes it as "bacterial SSU rRNA". It matches the Rfam family "Bacterial small subunit ribosomal RNA", at positions 38 to 452 of the family's 1533-position model. The record is from RNAcentral. Lineage: Bacteria; Pseudomonadati; Pseudomonadota; Alphaproteobacteria.